ACGCACGCUGGCGGCGUGCUUAACACAUGCAAGUCGAACGCUGAAGCUUGGUGUUUGCCCUGGGUGGAUGAGUGGCGAACGGGUGAGUAAUACGUGAGUAACCUGCCCUUGACUCUGGGAUAAGCCUGGGAAACUGGGUCUAAUACUGGAUACGACAUGUCACCGCAUGGUGGUGUGUGGAAAGGGUUUUACUGGUUUUGGAUGGGCUCACGGCCUAUCAGCUUGUUGGUGGGGUAAUGGCUCACCAAGGCGACGACGGGUAGCCGGCCUGAGAGGGUGACCGGCCACACUGGGACUGAGACACGGCCCAGACUCCUACGGGAGGCAGCAGUGGGGAAUACUGCACAAUGGGCGGAAGCCUGAUGCAGCGACGCCGCGUGAGGGAUGACGGCCUUCGGGUUGUAAACCUCUUUCAGCACGGAAGAAGCGAAAGUGACGGUACGUGCAGAAGAAGCGCCGGCUAACUACGUG
Molecule: ribosomal RNA, 471 nt
Filed under: uncultured bacterium
Lineage: Bacteria
Description: partial 16S ribosomal RNA
Rfam family: Bacterial small subunit ribosomal RNA
Source: RNAcentral